Molecule: ribosomal RNA, 1498 nt
Filed under: human metagenome
Description: bacterial LSU rRNA
Rfam family: Bacterial large subunit ribosomal RNA
Source: RNAcentral
UGAGGGUAGGGGUGAAAGGCUAAUCAAACUUGGAGAUAGCUCGUACUCCCCGAAAUGCAUUUAGGUGCAGCCUGUGGAGUUUCUUACGUGAGGUAGAGCGACUGAUUGGAUGCGAGGCUUUCACCGGCUAUCAAGUCCAGACAAACUCCGAAUGCACGUUAAGUAAGAUCCACGGAGUGAGGGCAUGGGUGCUAAGGUCCAUGUCCGAGAGGAGAAGAAUCCAGACCAUCGGCUAAGGUCCCGAAAUAAUAGCUAAGUUGACCAAACGAAGUCAGAGUGCGAAGACAGCUAGGAUGUUGGCUUGGAAGCAGCCAUUCAUUUAAAGAGUGCGUAACAGCUCACUAGUCGAGUGCUUUGGCGUGGAUAAUAAUCGGGCAUAAGCUAUUUACCGAAGCUGUGGGAUGUGUAAACAUCGGUAGGGGAGCAUUCUAGCGGCGCUGAAGGUGAGAGGACAACUCUUGCUGGAGCUUCUAGAAAAGCAAAUGUAGGUAUAAGUAACGAUAAAGGAGGUGAGAAACCUCCUCGCCGAAAGACUAAGGGUUCCUGAUCAACGCUAAUCGGAUCAGGGUUAGUCGGGGCCUAAGGGGAAGCCGAACGGCGCACCCGAUGGAAGAACCGGUUAAUAUUCCGGUACUAAUUAUGUGAGCGAUGUGGAGACGGAGAUGUGACGGUCCUGCCAACUGACGGAAUAGUUGGUUGAAGGGUGUAGGAGUUGAUCUGAGUAGGCAAAUCCGCUCGGAGAUCCGAACCUGACAGUACUCUGAGUGCUUGCACAAGGAGAUAUGGACAACUGUAACGGUGCUCCCAAGAAAAUCCGCUAAGCAUAUUGCAUGAUUACCCGUACCAUAAACCGACACAGGUGGUUGGGUUGAGUAUACUAAGGCGCUCGAGUGAUUCGCGGUUAAGGAACUAGGCAAAAUAGUCCUGUAACUUCGGAAUAAAGGACGCUCACAGUGAAGGCUGUGAGCCGCAGAGAAUAGGCCCAGGCGACUGUUUAACAAAAACACAUGGCUAUGCUAAAUCGAAAGAUACUGUAUAUAGCCUGACACCUGCCCGGUGCUGGAAGGUUAAGAGGAGAUGUCAUCGCAAGAGAAGCAUUGAAUUGAAGCCCCAGUAAACGGCGGCCGUAACUAUAACGGUCCUAAGGUAGCGAAAUUCCUUGUCGGGUAAGUUCCGACCUGCACGAAUGGUGUAACGAUCUGGGUACUGUCUCAACCGCGAGCUCGGUGAAAUUGUAGUAUCGGUGAAGAUGCCGAUUACCCGCAACGGGACGAAAAGACCCCGUGAACCUUUACUAUAGCUUUGCAUUGGAUUUGGGUAACAAAUGUGUAGGAUAGGCCGGAGACUGAGAAGCGGGCACGCCAGUGUUCGUGGAGUCGCCGUUGAAAUACGGCCCUUUUGUUAUUUGGGUUCUAACUCGCUUGAGCGAGGACAUUGCAUGGUGGGUAGUUUGACUGGGGUGGUCGCCUCCAAAAGCGUAACGGAGGCUUCUAAAGGU